ACUCAAAGGAAUAGACGGGUCCCCGCACAAGCAGCGGAGCGUGUGGUUUAAUUCGAUGAUACACGAAGAACCUUACCAGGGUUUGACAUGAGGGUGGUAGGAAUCCGAAAGGUGACCGACUCUUCGGAGAGCCCCCACAGGUGCUGCAUGGCUGUCGUCAGCUCGUGUCGUGAGACGUUCGGUUAAGUCCGCUAACGAGCGCAACCCUCGUCGUGUGUUACAAGUGUCACGCGAGACCGCCGGUGUCAAGCCGGAGGAAGGUGAGGAUGACGUCAAGUCAGCAUGGCCUUUAUAUCCUGGGCUACACACACGCUACAAUGGCCAGCACAAUAGGUAGCGAAACCGCGAGGUGAAGCCAAUCCACAAAGUUGGCCUCAGUUCAGAUUGUAGGCUGCAACUCGCCUGCAUGAAGAUGGAGUUGCUAGUAAACGCAGGUCAGCACUACUGCGUUGAAUACGUUCCCGGGGAUUGCACACACCGCCCGU
This 485-nucleotide ribosomal RNA is filed under the name uncultured bacterium. RNAcentral's name for it is "bacterial SSU rRNA". It matches the Rfam family "Bacterial small subunit ribosomal RNA", at positions 899 to 1397 of the family's 1533-position model. The record is from RNAcentral.